RNAcentral lists this ribosomal RNA (497 nucleotides) under uncultured bacterium. Its description in RNAcentral is "partial 16S ribosomal RNA". It matches the Rfam family "Bacterial small subunit ribosomal RNA", at positions 28 to 507 of the family's 1533-position model. The record is from RNAcentral.
GACGAACGCUGGCGGCGUGCCUAAUACAUGCAAGUUGAGCGAUGAAGAUUGGUGCUUGCACCAAUUUGAAGAGCAGCGAACGGGCGAGUAACGCGUGGGGAAUCUGCCUUUGAGCGGGGGACAACAUUUGGAAACGAAUGCUAAUACCGCAUAACAACUUUAAACAUAAGUUUUAAGUUUGAAGGAUGCAAUUGCAUCACUCAAAGAUGAUCCCGCGUUGUAUUAGCUAGUUGGUGAGGUAAAGGCUCACCAAGGCGAUGAUACAUAGCCGACCUGAGAGGGUGAUCGGCCACAUUGGGACUGAGACACGGCCCAAACUCCUACGGGAGGCAGCAGUAGGGAAUCUUCGGCAAUGGACGAAAGUCUGACCGAGCAACGCCGCGGGAGUGAAGAAGGUUUUCGGAUCGUAAAACUCUGUUGGUAGAGAAGAACGUUGGUGAGAGUGGAAAGCUCAUCAAGUGACGGUAACUACCCAGAAAGGGACGGCUAACUACGUG